This 254-nucleotide ribosomal RNA is filed under the name uncultured bacterium. Its description in RNAcentral is "partial 16S ribosomal RNA". It matches the Rfam family "Bacterial small subunit ribosomal RNA", at positions 524 to 776 of the family's 1533-position model. The record is from RNAcentral.
UACGGGGGGGGUAAGCGUUGUUCGGGAUUACUGGGCGUAAAGGGCUCGUAGGCGGCCAACUAAGUCAAACGUGAAAUCCCUCAGCUUAACUGGGGAACUGCGUCUGAUACUGGAUGGCUUGGAUUCGGGAGAGGAAUGCGGAAUUCCAGGUGUAGCGGUGAAAUGCGUAGAUAUCUGGAGGAACACCGGUGGCGAAGGCGGCAUCCUGGACCAAUUCUGACGCUGAGUGAGCGAAAGCCAGGGGAGCAAACGGG